AUUCAAUUAAAAAGUUACAGCAUAAGAACCAGCAGGAUGGUGGUGGAGUAAGGAGCUCCUAGAGUCAGCUCCUGCUACAGGGCAGUUAGUAAAUACCCAGAGCUCUCUGGAGCUAGCCGAAGCACGUGUUUGGGGGCUCCAGGAGGCCAGAAAAGCAUCUGGCAACAUCCUUGAAGGAAUGGAAGGAGGAGAUGCCCACCUGCAGAGAAGACUCGCCCAAAUCUCCAACAACUGAUGCCCAACAUGGGGCCCAAAGAAGUGAAUCUGAAAAAAGUGAGUCUUCCAUAGCCAUAUUGGGAACCCAUGGAAAAGACCUCGUCAAGGGUCAAGUGAGACGUCCAAAGCAGAGUGACUCGAGUCUUCUUUGAAGUAAGUAACAUUUCCACGAAGUCAUCAGGGUAUAGGUAAUCAAAUAGGACGUGUGGAAGAAUAUUUGC
Molecule: long non-coding RNA, 437 nt
Filed under: Dasypus novemcinctus (nine-banded armadillo)
Lineage: Eukaryota; Metazoa; Chordata; Mammalia; Cingulata; Dasypodidae
Description: lncRNA (ENSDNOG00000051346.1)
Source: RNAcentral